Molecule: long non-coding RNA, 364 nt
Filed under: Populus tremula
Lineage: Eukaryota; Viridiplantae; Streptophyta; Magnoliopsida; Malpighiales; Salicaceae
Description: long non-coding RNA (PTRE_LNC001753)
Source: RNAcentral
ACCAAGGCGGUGGCCGCUGGGGCUGUGGCUGAGGGCGGGAUUGUGGAGGGUGAAGGCGCGUGCUGUUGUGCUGAGCGCGUGACCACGGUCAAGGAUCCUUACGGUUUCGUCUGGCAAUUCUGCUCUCCUGCCGAUGAGUGCGGUGCUAACGUGGAAGCUUAAAUGCCGUAUGAUCUUAUGAUAUUGGUUCGCUUUGGUUCUUAGUGUUGUCUGUCUUUCAUAUUUUACUUUGUAGUAGUGGGACCCUUAUAUCCGAGAAGUUCUCUGCCUAUUUGGAUUAGGUGAUUCGUAGGGUUAGUCUCGCCUAGUAGUGACAUGACUAUGGUUUUUUGGUAAUUUCGAGAACACCUUGGAGGAGAUAUGG